GAAACCUGAGCCCUGCCCCUUGAAAAAUCCUGAGAUCUCUAUAAUCAAAAACUCGUUAUAAUGUUGCUAAAAGGUGCAAGUAGGGCAGCCUUGGCAAGGUCGCCCGGGAGAGGGAGUGCAAUAUUAAUCACGACCCAUCUCAUCCAACCGCGGAUAUCUAGUUCAUCAACGACUUCAAUUUAAUUAGUUUAAUGCCUUAAGAAUGUCUGAGUUAUACCCUUCUUGUACGCCGUAUUUGCAUUCAUAAAUAUAAUAAAAAAAACAUCACCAAAUAUUCGCAUAUAAUAAGCAUAAUAGGCUUUAUUGAAGAAAGUGACUUCUUGAGUACAGUUGCAAUUAUUAUCAAAUUAUAUGUAACGAUAAAAUAUCUACGUAAUCAGUUUAAAGAAUAUUUGUAAAAUUGUUUUCAUCAUCACGUAAUUGGAAAUAUAUAUGAAAACUCAUUACGCUCAAAAGUAGCGCUUUGACGCCGAUAAUUUUUACAAAGUGACGUUUUUGCGAAAUUCUCUUGAAACUAAUUGGUCACGAUUCUAGACAUCAACGAGCAAUCCGGUAAACAAAUCAAAGAUGAUUUGUCAGUCAAAUAUGGAGAACGAGUCCAAUUUUUGCUCUGUGACGUCACUGAUGAGAAGCAGCUCAUUAACGCUUUCGAUGAAGUUACCGCGCGUUGGGGUAGUUUAGAUCUCGUAGUAAACAACGCUGGGAUUGCUGAUGAGUCAUUCCCUAUGUAUAAGAAACAAAUCGCUUUAAAUUUUACUACUGUAAUCACGUCGACGUUAAGGGCGAUGGAGGUGAUGCGUAAGGACAAAGAAGGAAAAGGGGGCACGAUCAUCAACGUAUCAUCAAUAUUGGGGCUGAUGAGGGUCUCCCCGGGGCCUUUCGUGUACGGUGCCAUCAAGAAUGCUCUAGUACACUUCGGAAGUACUAUUGGGAUGGAUGAAUAUUAUUCCCGGACAAAUGUAAGAGUUAUAACAAUAUGUUUCGGACUCACUCAGACCAGUAUUAUUCAGAAUACAAAAAGUUUUGACGAACAAAUCAAUACGGACGCGGAAAAGAUCUUACGAGAUGUUUUAGUUCGAAGUCCGGGACAAACAACAGAAAUUGCCGCCAAAGGAGUCGCAGAGAGUUUCAAGAACGGUACAAGUGGAAGCACAUGGCUAGUUAAUAACGGCGUCAUAUCCGAUAUUACUUCAAGUGUAGUGAAAGCAUACGAUGUGAUGAGUGAACACGUUUUUGCGCGGUGUUAAAGCAUUUUUUUUAUUACAGAUUGA
Pieris napi is the source of this 1271-nucleotide long non-coding RNA. RefSeq lists it as uncharacterized. The record is from RefSeq and is a predicted model, not a curated record. The transcript has 5 exons. NCBI's taxonomy places the organism in Eukaryota, Metazoa, Arthropoda, Insecta, Lepidoptera, Pieridae.